This 253-nucleotide ribosomal RNA is filed under the name uncultured bacterium. RNAcentral describes it as "partial 16S ribosomal RNA". It matches the Rfam family "Bacterial small subunit ribosomal RNA", at positions 524 to 776 of the family's 1533-position model. The record is from RNAcentral.
GACAGAGGCCACGAACGUUGUUCGGAAUUACUGGGCGUAAAGCGCACGUAGGCGGCUUUCUAAGUCGGGGGUGAAAUCCUGGAGCUCAACUCCAGAACUGCCUUCGAUACUGGAAAGCUCGAGUCCGGGAGAGGUGAGUGGAACUGCGAGUGUAGAGGUGAAAUUCGUAGAUAUUCGCAAGAACACCAGUGGCGAAGGCGGCUCACUGGCCCGGUACUGACGCUGAGGUGCGAAAGCGUGGGGAGCAAACAGG